CCAAGUGACAGGUAAUGUAAACAUCCUACACUCUCAGCUGUGUAGAUAAGAAGAAAGCUGGGAGAAGGCUGUUUACUCUCUCUGCCUUGGAAA
MicroRNA precursor from Anolis carolinensis (green anole), 93 nucleotides. Ensembl annotates it as aca-mir-30c-1. Its record names the gene aca-mir-30c-1. NCBI's taxonomy places the organism in Eukaryota, Metazoa, Chordata, Lepidosauria, Squamata, Anolidae. The record is from Ensembl.